GGUCAGGAAGGCUGUCCUUCCAGGAAGGCUGCAGGGACCCUGGGAACCGCACCAGCCGGGCUCACAGGCAUGAAGAGAAUGUCGGGAGAGGAAGUGGUGGCUGUGAGUCAGCAUGAGUCAUCUCGUUCCAAUGAGAAUGAGGACUGAGGUGUGCGCCUUUUUUUUUUUUUUUUUCUGUCUUAAUCGUGUGGACAUCACUGGGAAUGGAGGGAAAUAAGUGACUGUAUGGUCACUGACUGCUUUUUUCAAAUUUCAAACUGACAUCCCAGGCAAGCCAUGCCUGGGCCAAUGCCCGUCUUCAGAGCUUCACGGCACCGUUCCCGGGGAAGGUGGCGCCACCAGCUUCUCCCUGAAUAACUGGGAGAUGAAACAGGAAGCCCUAUGACACACUUGAUCGAAAAUGACACAGACACGAAAAUCAGGACUCGGCCCCCUCCGGCGCCUCUACCUGCUGCCCGCUGAUCACAGCUGGAAGGCUGGGGAAGGCUUUUCCCGGGGGGCCUGAUUCCAGCUGCUGGGACUCUGAGGGCCUCUGCGCUUGCCGGUGGUGUGUCUGCCCUCCUUUGGGCACGGUCUAGUCUGCUUGGUUUCCCAUUCGUCUGCCCAGUCUCUAUGUGUCUCAAUCCCUUGUCCUUCAUUAAAAGUAAAACUAAAA
Molecule: long non-coding RNA, 655 nt
Organism: Microcebus murinus (gray mouse lemur)
Lineage: Eukaryota; Metazoa; Chordata; Mammalia; Primates; Cheirogaleidae
Source: RefSeq, a predicted model, not a curated record